Molecule: ribosomal RNA, 431 nt
Filed under: uncultured bacterium
Lineage: Bacteria
Description: partial 16S ribosomal RNA
Rfam family: Bacterial small subunit ribosomal RNA
Source: RNAcentral
CGACCGCUGGCGGCAUGCCUAACACAUGCAAGUCGAACGAGACCUUCGGGUCUAGUGGCGCACGGGUGCGUAACGCGUGGGAACCUGCCCUUAGGUUCGGAAUAACUCCCCGAAAGGGGUGCUAAUACCGGAUAAUGUCUUCGGACCAAAGAUUUAUCGCCUUUGGAUGGGCCCGCGUUGGAUUAGCUAGUUGGUAGGGUAAAAGCCUACCAAGGCGACGAUCCAUAGCUGGUCUGAGAGGAUGAUCAGCCACACUGGGACUGAGACACGGCCCAGACUCCUACGGGAGGCAGCAGUGGGGAAUAUUGGACAAUGGGCGAAAGCCUGAUCCAGCAAUGCCGCGUGAGUGAUGAAGGCCUUAGGGUUGUAAAGCUCUUUUACCCGGGAUGAUAAUGACAGUACCGGGAGAAUAAGCUCCGGCUAACUCCGUG